GCUACAGAAAAGGAAUGAAAAACACUCUUCACCACAAAAUUCCCACAGAGUUAAAAAAAGAAAAAAAAGUACUAAACCAUAACUACCAUUGUGUGACCUGCUGACCUGGUAACUGUGGCGUGUUGACCUGGUAACUGUGGAGUGUUGACCUGGUAACUGUGGCGUGUGUAGUGAGUGGUGACUAGUAGCGAUGCACAAGUCCAGCCUGCCCAACGCUCCCAACAUGGCAACACUCACAGCCUUCAGGAUCACGGCGCCCAUCCUCUCCCUGCCGCUCCUCUCCAACCCAGGUGAGUACUCGGCCUGGUGACCCUUCGUCUGUGUCUGCGUCUGUGUGGUGAGAGGGAGGGAGAGAGAAGGAAGCAGUGUGGUGAGACUAAGAGGGAGGGAGAGAGGA
Long non-coding RNA from Portunus trituberculatus (swimming crab), 397 nucleotides. RefSeq lists it as uncharacterized. The record is from RefSeq and is a predicted model, not a curated record. The transcript is spliced from 2 exons. NCBI's taxonomy places the organism in Eukaryota, Metazoa, Arthropoda, Malacostraca, Decapoda, Portunidae.